Andrographis paniculata is the source of this 120-nucleotide long non-coding RNA. RefSeq lists it as uncharacterized. The record is from RefSeq and is a predicted model, not a curated record. The transcript is spliced from 3 exons. NCBI's taxonomy places the organism in Eukaryota, Viridiplantae, Streptophyta, Magnoliopsida, Lamiales, Acanthaceae.
GGUGUAACAAGGUCGGGUGCAAAGAUCGGGUGUGAUCAGGUCGGGCACGGAGCUCAGGUGUAACAAGGUCGGGUGCAAAGAUCGGGUGUGAUCAGGUCGGGCACGGAGCUCAGGUGUAAC